Molecule: RNA transcript, 6080 nt
Organism: Manihot esculenta (cassava)
Lineage: Eukaryota; Viridiplantae; Streptophyta; Magnoliopsida; Malpighiales; Euphorbiaceae
Gene name: serine/threonine-protein kinase prpf4B
Exons: 14
Source: RefSeq, a predicted model, not a curated record
UUUUCUUUAGGCAGGCAAGCUUCGCUCUAAUCGGCGAAGGAGAGGAAAUCCACAAUCCAUCGAAGCAGCAAACUGCACCCUCCUAUUGCGCUGCACAUCACACAUCAAACAUCACAGAUCACAAUUCCCGAUUUCUCCCUCCUCCUUUCGCUCUCACAAAUUAAUUUGCGCCCCCUUUUCUGAAGGAAACGAAAAAACCCAUAAACAAAACCCUAACCCUAGAUUUGCUCUAGCAGCCGUAGCAACAACGAAUGGCAAGCGACAGUGAUGCCUCCCGUCAUAAGCACCACCGGUCGCCAUCUGAUGAUGAGGCGGAGAAGUCCUCCAAGCGACACAAACACCGACACCGCCGCCAUCACCGUUGCCACCGAAGCAAGACGCACGGUGAGGCAAGUAAACAUGAUCGUGAUGAAAUUGCUCCUCCUCCUCCAGUGAAUCAUAUUGUGGCUAAUAAUAAUAGGGUUGAUGAUGACGUGGAGGAAGGUGAGAUUUUGGAGGAGGAAGGUUCUGGUGUCAGUGUAAAGGACAUGGAAUUACGCGAGGACAAAACGGAUUCCCAAAAUCUGGGAAUUCAUGCUGACAAUGGUGACAGUGGUUUAACUAAUUCUAGCAAUGCUAAUAAGUUAGACAUGGAAGUUAGUUUGCCUGAUGAUUCCAGGGCUGAGGUUCGACAUGAAUUGGUUCCUAGAGAUGAGCUUGACGUUCAUGCCAAUGGAGAUUUGGGGCAUGAAUAUCAUAAAUCAGGCAAGAAACAACAUGGGGAACCUGGCUCUUCUAAAGGAAGUUACAAGCGAAAGAGUUACCAUGAUGCUGAUACACCUGAGGAUAAUGAAUGCAAAUUAGGUGAUUGGGGCAAAUCAUCUUCUGAAAGUGGAGGGAAAAAAUACAAGUCUUUGAGAGGUGCAGCUUCUCAUGAUAGGUACCACUAUGAGGUGGGUGCUAGGAGUAGAUCACUGUCGCAUGAUUUUGUUAGGGAGCAUUCUCAUUCCCACAGCAUAAUAGAAGAGGAUGUUCUUUUGAAGAGAGGGCGACACAAUGGAAGGUUUGAGAAUGAUUCCGAUGAUGAAAGAAUGACUCAACAAGAUAGGGAUCUACAGCAUGGCAGCAAAGAUUUGGAGAGGGAGUUCAGUACCAGUUACAGCAGAAGCCUAGGAGGUGGGGACAAGCAUAGCAGCAAGGAUGCACGUGGCAGAGAGGUGAUGAGGGAGAAGGAGAUGGACUGGGAAUGGAGAAGGGAUCAGGAACAAGAGAGGAGCAGGGACAGGGAUCAACAAAGAGAAAAAGAUCGAGAGAAGAUCAGGGACAUGGAUUUGAGAAGAGAGAAGGAAAGGGAGAGAAGCAGGGACAGGGAUGUGAGAAGAGAGAAGGAACAAGAAAGAAGCAGGGAGAAGGCUGUUAGAAGAGAGAAGGGACGAGAGAGGAGCAGGGAAAGGGAUGUGAGAAGAGAGAAGGAAAGGGAGAGGAGCAGGGACAUGGAUGUGAGAAGAGAAAAGGAAAGAGAGAGGAGCAGGGACAGGGAGAUGGACAGGGGGAGAAGAGAGAAGCAACAAGAGAGGAAAUUGGAAAGGGAGGUGGAGAGGGAUAGGAGGAGGGAUAAUGAAUGGGACAGGAGCAGGGACAAGGAGGAGGAGAUGGAAAAGCAAAGGCAGAAAGGAAAAGAUAAAAGCAAAGAUAAAGAUGUGACUAGGUCUAGUGAUAGACACAGAGAUUGGGAAAAGGAGAGGGAGAACAAUAGAGAUAGGCAUAGGGAGAGAGACAGAGUUAGGGACCAAGAUUGGGAGAGUGGAAGGGAUAGGGACAGGCGAAGUAAUAGAGAUAGUGAUAAUUCCAGGGACAGUAAGAGAGAUUUGACAAAAGUACUCUCUCAUGGUGAUACCAUAGAAGGGGACAGAGACAAACGCAAAAGAGAUGAAGAUGAGCAGGAUGAUUUUGAAGAAAGGAUUAAUUUAAAACUAGCUGAACAGGAGGAAGAUCUUGAUAGGGUUAAGGAGGAGAGUAGAAAACGCAGGCAAGCAAUUCUUGAAAAAUUUAGGAAUCAGCAGUCUCUGCAGAAAAAUGAGACUCGAUUGGAGGAUGUGGAAAAAGAUGCUGAACCUGUACAACUUCCUGUCAAAUCACUGCCGGCUCAUAUUGUUGCCCCAGAAACUCAUGAGACUAGGAUUGAUGGUGAUGUCUUUUUAGCUGAUCCAUCUUUUUCUGUCGGCAAGUUGCCUCCGCGAAAUGGAACACAGGAUUCUGAGAGGACUUCUGGUGCUGUGGGGCUUGGAGAGGGUACUCCCAAGAGCGAGAGGUCAGAGGAAAACUACUGUGAUGACAUAUUUGGGGAGACACCUGCUGGAAUUCGUAAAUCGGGCAAAGGAGAUGGUUUGCCAAUUUUGCGGAGUGGUCUUCAUGACAACUGGGAUGACCCUGAUGGGUAUUAUGGCUACCGAUUUGGUGAAAUACUUGAUGGUCGGUAUGAAAUUGUGGCUGCUCAAGGUAAAGGCGUCUUUUCCACAGUAGUCCGUGCAAAGGAUUUGAAGGCUGGUGUUGGUGAACCUGAAGAAGUGGCUAUAAAAAUCAUUCGUAACAAUGAAACAAUGCAAAGAGCUGGUCAGUCAGAGGUUAAGAUAUUAAAUAAACUAGCAGAGCUAGAUCAGGAGAACAAGCGCCAUUGUGUUCGUUUUCUUUCAAGUUUUAAGUAUAGAAAUCAUCUUUGUUUAGUUUUUGAAUCUCUUCAUAUGAACCUUCGUGAGGUCUUAAAGAAGUUUGGUCGUAAUAUUGGCCUUAAACUAACAGCUGUGCGAGCAUAUGCAAAGCAGCUUUUUAUUGCACUGAAACAUCUUAAGAACUGUGGGGUUCUUCAUUGUGAUAUAAAGCCUGAUAACAUGCUGGUAAAUGAAGCAAAAAAUGUGCUGAAGCUUUGUGAUUUUGGUAACGCCAUGUUUUCUGGUAAAAAUGAGAUUACACCAUACCUUGUGAGCCGCUUUUAUCGUGCUCCAGAAGUCAUUCUUGGAUUGCCAUAUGAUCAUCCAAUGGAUAUGUGGUCUGUUGGUUGCUGUUUGUACGAACUUUAUACUGGGAAAGUUCUUUUUCCUGGUCCUACAAACAAUGACAUGUUGCGGCUUCAAAUGGAACUGAAGGGCCCUUUUCCAAAGAAGAUGCUCAAAAAGGGUGCUUUUGUUGACCAGCAUUUUGACCCAGAUUUGAAUUUUCAUGCUACAGAGGACGAUCCUGUUACUAAAAAGACUAUAAAGCGGAUGAUUCUAAAUAUAAAGCCAAAAGAUAUUGGAACAAUUGUUACAAGUUCUCCUGGUGAAGAUCCAAAGUUGUUAGCCAAUUUUAGAGAUCUUCUAGAUAAAAUUUUUGUGUUGGAUCCGGAGAAGAGGAUGACUGUUCAUCAAGCACAAUAUCACCCGUUCAUCACGGGCAAGUGAACCCAUGUUGCUGAUUUUCUGACACCAGAAUUGAUGUUGCGCUAGAUAUUAAUACAUUAUGAGUUCAUAUUCAGUUAUCUAAUCAUUGGGCAUUAUGUCUUUGUCCUCUAUUUGUCUAUGAGCUUUGGACAGUUAAAGCCAUCAUUGAAUUCAGAAAGGGUGAUAUUUGGUCAGGAGUACUCUUAACUGGCGGUUCUUUCAGGGGAAUGUACUGUUUCUAUUGAUAUCAUCCCUUGCUUUGAGGCAAUCCUCCAGUGCUUAAAUGCUUAAAAGGCACCCAGGAGAAGGUACCUUGGUUAGUUUACUGGGAGCUUAUGAUAACAGGCAAAAUACAUUUUAUUUGCAAAAUAUUUGCACAUCAAUAGAAUUUUACUAGUUAAAUUCUGUGUGAAUUUCGUUAUGUUCUUGAGAAUACUUUCUUGGACUGUUCUUUGUUUGUUUGGGUGUGUUUCCUUUCAAUGGUUUCUUCAUUUGCUAUGUGUUGUGCUUUGGAAUGGAAAUUAGCACCCAGUAUAAGCUGAAAUGGUAACAUUAGCCGAGUUGACCGCCAUUUUCUCUGUGCAAAUGUGUCUGUGAACAAGGCAUGUGCUAAGAUUUCUUUAGUAGUUUAUAUUCAUGUUCCUCUGUGGUAGUGAUCGUGUAAACAAGUAGUUUGUUUUCAAUGCUUUAGUUUAUUUUGCCUUAUCUUCACAUAUAUAUAUGCUAAUGAUUUUCUAUACAUCUGAUCCAUGGACUGUCAUUUUGGAUGCAAAGGCUACUGAGAUGUGCUGCUUCAACAAUAAAGUCAAAAGCAUGUGGCAUUGUCUUUGUAGUCCAUCCCUUUUCAAUUCUUGUAAGUAUCUGGAAUCUUUUUAUGGUUACGAACUUAAAUGAGCUUUUUGCUAUAUGAUAUAUAUAUAUAUAUUUUGUUAAAUGUUACCCAAUCUCAUGUUGCCAUAGUAUCAUGUGUAAUCACUGAGAGGUUUAUGGGUCACAUCUUUUGUGUCAUAAUCUGGCACACGCAGUGUGCUUGGUAUAUUCUAUAAUUUGCCGGAGUCUAGCUGAAUUGUGGAGUUUGAGGCCCCCAAAUGCAAUUUCUAGGGCUUGGGCUCUGGGUUGGUCAGUUGGACUUGAAUCAAAGUGUGCAGGAUUUAUAAGGUACUAGAUUUUAGUGGUAUUGUUUUGAAAAUAGUUAACAUAUUUAUAUGAAGCACAAUAUUAUUGUAUUGUAUAUUUGCAUUAGUAAUGUAAAUAUCUUAUACCUUUUCUAUAGAGCACUAGUAUAAUAUUAAAAGAUAAGCUUAAUAUUAAAGAAAAGGAGUAUUUUUGUGCUUGUUGAAGUUAUGUAUAACUAGUUACGUGUCAAUUUUGAUUUAAGAUAACUAGUGUUGCAGUCAUGUGUCAUAGCAUGAAUUUUACGCACAACUAUUGAUUGUUGGUUGAUGGGGCCUGAACAAUAACAAAUGUGGACCACUGAGCUGAGAACGAGCUGAUGCAAUUUACAAUCUAUUUUGUAUUGUCUAUAAUGUGGAAUGGUGAACACAAAAGGUAAAGAAACAAAUUCUCAAAUAAGGGGAUGAGGCAAAUUCUCUGGAGGAGAAGAAAUUCUGGACAAUAAUGUCACGACCUUAACAAAAUGCUUAUAAGAUGAAGGUAUUUAUAGUUUAUCACUUGGUCAUAUUAGUAGCUAAUUGGGAAUACUAAACCAAAAAUUAUGAUACUAAAUAAGUUCAAACUGGGAAAAUAGUAAAAAUAAUAGAAUUCUUAAAUAAUAGAAAUGUGAACUUCCUAAUUCACUAUGAAAACUAUAUCAGCAUAAUUUCUAAAUUGCUUCUUCCUUAACUGCAUCAUUCUCCCUUGGAAAAAAUGUUGACUUUUGAGUUUUAUAGUGCAGAAGAAUUUAUAACUGGAUUUGGAGACUAGGAGCUUUAUAUUCUUAUGUGGUAGCAAUGAGCUUGAAACAAGGAGUUUCAUGCUUCCUUUUGCAUUCCUGAAAAAAUUUGAAUAUACAAAUUCAAUUAAAACUGCAUCUGAAAGACCAAUUCAAUAGGAAUGGAGAAAUUUGAGAAAUCAUCAAUUUCUAUUGCUGGCUUCAUGUUAUGGUUCGGUACUCUUCAAUUUAUAUUGAACUCUCCAUCCCUUGGUUUUGCUUCGUUUGGGAUAAAGAUUCAUUAAGCUUGUCAUGCUCAUGCUCAUCCUCAUUUGACUCUGAUUUUAUUCUUUUCCUAAGAAAAACUUUUGUGGAUGCAAAAUUUCCUGGACUCUUGACUAUUGAUGAGCUAUUAUUACUUGCCAAUUCCAUGUGUAUUCUUAUUUAUUUGAGAGAUUUGAGAGCGCUGCCACUAGGUGCGUAGUUGGAUACUUUGUAGUUUUGAGUACAGGGAAAGCUGUUCUCUUCUUCUUCCUCUUCCCGCCUCCCAGCCCCCCUCCUGUGUGUGUGUGUGUGUGUGGAAGGGAGGUGGAUACAAGAGGCUUUGUUCAGACAACAUUUUGGGAAACAGGUGGCUGUGCGGUGACCGUGGACUUUGUACAGUGGAUACUCUUUCCGGCAGCACAGUGGAUGUAACUUCUUUUAUACUGAAGUUUGUAUUCAUUAUUAAAAUGCGACUGAUUGUUAUGUUUGGUGAUUUGAUUAUUAUUAUUAUUGUUAUGUUUUUCAACUUCAAAUGAGAUUGAAUUGGCAUC